UGGGGGAUAUUGCACAAUGGGGGAAACCCUGAUGCAGCGACACCGCGUGGGUGAGGAAGCGCUUCGGCGUGUAAAGCCCUAUCAGUGGGGAAGAAAAAGGACGGUACCCAAAGAAGAAGCACCGGCUAAAUACGUGCCAGCAGCCGCGGUAAUACGUAUGGUGCAAGCGUUAUCCGGAAUGACUGGGUGUAAAGGGAGCGUAGACGGUUGUACAAGUCUGAUGUGAAAGCCCACGGCUCAACUGUGGGAGUGCAUUGGAAACUGUAGAACUAGAGUAUCGGAGAGGCAAGUGGAAUUCCUAGUGUAGCGGUGAAAUGCGUAGAUAUUAGGAGGAACACCAGUGGCGAAGGCGGCUUGCUGGACGAAAACUGACGUUGAGGCUCGAAAGCGUGGGGAGCAAACAGG
This 405-nucleotide ribosomal RNA is filed under the name uncultured bacterium. RNAcentral's name for it is "bacterial SSU rRNA". It matches the Rfam family "Bacterial small subunit ribosomal RNA", at positions 355 to 776 of the family's 1533-position model. The record is from RNAcentral.